RNAcentral lists this ribosomal RNA (1203 nucleotides) under metagenome. RNAcentral's name for it is "bacterial LSU rRNA". It matches the Rfam family "Bacterial large subunit ribosomal RNA", at positions 1705 to 2925 of the family's 2925-position model. The record is from RNAcentral.
CCAGGGAACUCGGCAAAAUGACUCCGUAACUUCGGGAGAAGGAGUGCCACUGAGAGGUGGCCGCAGAGAAUUGGCCCAAGCAACUGUUUAGCAAAAACACAGGUCUAUGCAAAACCGAAAGGUGAAGUAUAUGGGCUGACGCCUGCCCGGUGCUGGAAGGUUAAGGGGAGAGGUUAGCGCAAGCGAAGCUUUGAACUUAAGCCCCAGUAAACGGCGGCCGUAACAAUAACGGUCCUAAGGUAGCGAAAUUCCUUGUCGGGUAAGUUCCGACCCGCACGAAAGGCGUAAUGAUUUGGGCACUGUCUCAACAAUGCACCCGGUGAAAUUGAAAUACCAGUGAAGAUGCUGGUUACCUGCGCCAGGACGGAAAGACCCCAUGGAGCUUUACUCCAGCUUGAUACUGGGAUUCGGUAUUGCAUGUACAGGAUAGGUGGGAGGCUAAGAAGCGGUAACGCCAGUUGCCGUGGAGCUGUUGUUGGGAUACCACCCUUGCAGUACUGGGUUUCUAACCAGCGGCCUUAAACAGGUCGGGGGACAAUGUCAGGUGGGGAGUUUGACUGGGGCGGUCGCCUCCGAAAGGGUAUCGGAGGCGCUCAAAGGUUCCCUCAGAAUGGUCGGAAACCAUUCGAAGAGUGCAAAGGCAGAAGGGAGCUUGACUGCGACACCGACGGGUGGAGCAGGUACGAAAGUAGGACUUAGUGAUCCGGUGGUAUAAAGUGGGAUUGCCAUCGCUCAACGGAUAAAAGCUACCCUGGGAUAACAGGCUUAUCACUCCCAAGAGUUCACAUCGACGGAGUGGUUUGGCACCUCGAUGUCGGCUCAUCGCAUCCUGGGGCUGAAGUAGGUCCCAAGGGUUGGGCUGUUCGCCCAUUAAAGCGGUACGCGAGCUGGGUUCAGAACGUCGUGAGACAGUUCGGUCCCUAUCCGGCGUGGGCGUAGGAUAUUUGAGAGGAGCUGUCCUUAGUACGAGAGGACCGGGAUGGACUGGCCGCUGGUUGAUCUGUUGUUCCGCCAGGAGCAUAGCAGAGUAGCCAAGCCGGGACGGGAUAAAUGCUGAAGGCAUCUAAGCGUGAAGCCCCCCUCAAGAUGAGAUAUCCCAACGAAAGUUGUAAGACCCCUUGAAGACGACGAGGUAGAUAGGACAGAGGUGGAAGUGUGGUAACACAUGGAGCUGACUGUUACUAAUAGGUCGAGGGCAUAAUC